GGGCCCGCACAAGCGGUGGAGCAUGUGGUUUAAUUCGAUGAUACGCGAGGAACCUUACCAGGGCUUAAAUGUAACGGGACAGAUCUAGAGAUAGAUCCUUCUUCGGACUCAUUACAAGGUGCUGCAUGGUUGUCGUCAGCUCGUGCCGUGAGGUGUCAGGUUAAGUCCUAUAACGAGCGCAACCCCCAUCGUUAGUUGCCAACGAGUAAUGUCGGGAACUCUAACGAAACUGCCGGUGCAAACCGUGAGGAAGGUGGGGAUGACGUCAAAUCAUCACGGCCCUUACGUCCUGGGCUACACACGUGCUACAAUGGUCGGUACAGAGAGCAGCCACUACGCGAGUAGGAGCAAAUCUUCAAAGCCGAUCUUAGUCCGGAUCGCAGUCUGCAACUCGACUGCGUGAAGUUGGAAUCGCUAGUAA
Molecule: ribosomal RNA, 421 nt
Filed under: uncultured bacterium
Lineage: Bacteria
Description: bacterial SSU rRNA
Rfam family: Bacterial small subunit ribosomal RNA
Source: RNAcentral